UUAAGGGCAAAGCAGUCGUAAGGCUGUGACGCAAAGCCAUAGGGUCCCGAAAGAGACAGCCGGUUGCA
RNAcentral lists this non-coding RNA (68 nucleotides) under bovine gut metagenome. RNAcentral's name for it is "Cyclic di-GMP-I riboswitch". It matches the Rfam family "c-di-GMP-I riboswitch aptamer". Rfam says of the family: GEMM was predicted in a large-scale screen for bacterial structured RNA regulatory elements. Genes associated with GEMM are involved in a diverse array of functions, including chemotaxis regulation, signal transduction, secretion and chitin. The record is from RNAcentral.